Molecule: non-coding RNA, 2146 nt
Organism: Ictidomys tridecemlineatus (thirteen-lined ground squirrel)
Lineage: Eukaryota; Metazoa; Chordata; Mammalia; Rodentia; Sciuridae
Source: RefSeq, a predicted model, not a curated record
GGCAUGACUAAGCAUUGCAUUACUGUGGAAGAGUAGAGCAGAUGUGAAGGGGAUGCUCAGCCAGUUCUUUCCUUCAUGACUGAUCUCCAUGGACUAUAUCACUUGAUUCCCUCCCUCCUCUGUUUUCCACUUAUAUUCAGGGGUUGGGAAGUACCAGCAGGAAACCAGAGGGCAAGAGAACAGGAUGACCCGAGGUGACCCCCGUAUGGAACACUGAAGGGACAUGGGCAACAGAAAUGGAGAGAAACUCUUUCUCCCUGGCAGGAAGACUGGAAAAAAGGGGCUCCUGACUUUCAGAAAAAAAUGGGAGGAGUCCACAAUUGUUUUCUUGCUAAUUUUUUCUUGUCUCCUUUGUCCUGCCCUAAGAGAAGUCUCAGUUACAGAGUGACACUGUAGAGAACAGGCACCUGAAACUCAAAGAGAAAAUUCACAUUCAUGGCCAAAAGAACUAAGAAAGGAGGCUCUAACCUAUGACCCAGAAGGGGUGAGGGGAAUCCCCAUUAUUUUUCCUGCUAUUUUCUAGUUGCUUUGACCUGAAGAAAGUGUCCAGCAGAAAUGUGUAACAGCAGAGCAGCCAAAGCUCCAAACGAAAGAAAUCCUGGUUGUCUCAGCAAAGGACCGAGAACCCGGCCUUCUGAAUGUGGAGAGUCAGGAAGAAAGCUCAAAGUGAGAGAACCAAAGAAGGGAGUUCCCCAAUUCUGCAUCUGAACUCACACCAAUCCCAGCCUCUUCUUGGGUCACAGAACAGGAACCCAAAGCAGAACAGAAAAGGCUUAUGUGUCAGAAAGGAAAAACAGAACCAUCUCUACUAACAGAUGACACAAUUUUCCAUUUAAAAAAUCCUAAAACUAUAUAAAAACAUUCCUAGAACUAAUAAGUUUAAUAAAGUCACAGAGUAUAAGAUCAAGUUAUUUCUACAUAGUAGCAAUGAACACUUGGAACACAAAAUGUUGAAGAAAAAAAACCAGUCCCAUUUAAAAUAACAUUGAAAACUGGAAAACUUAGAUGUAAAUCAAGGAAACAUGUAUAGGAUCUGUAUGGUGAAAACUACAGAGGCUGAUGAAAUAGAUCAUGAAAGACCUAAGUAAAUGGAGAGAGAUACCAUGUUCAUAGAUGGAAGACUCAAAACUGUUAAGGUAUCGGUUCCAAGUGGAUCUAAAGAUUCAACAAAUUCUAAUCAAGGUGCCAGAGUAAUUUUUUAUAGAUAUCAACAAGCUUAUUCUAAGAUGCAUACGGAAAAACAAAAAAAAUAGAACAGUCAAAAUAGUUUUGAAGCAGAACAAAGUCAGGGAACUCCUACAACCCAAUUUUAAUACAUACUAUAAUGCUACAGUAAGAAAGGCAAUGUGAUGGGCUGGGGAUGUGGCUCAGGUAGUAGCGCCCUCGCCUGGCAUGCGUGCGGCCCGGGUUCGAUCCUCAGCACCACAUACAAACAAAGAUGCUGUACCCACCGAUAACUAACUAAAUAAUAAAUAUUAAAAAAUUUUUAAAAAAGAAAGGCAAUGUGGUAUUGAGUAAAAGAUAGAUGAAAAGAUCAAUUAGGGGGUCCAGAAAUGGACACAAGUAGAGCCAAACAUUUUUUUUUCUGGUAAUACUGGAUAUUGAAUACAGGGUGCUAUACCACUGAACUACAUCCCUUGCCCUUUGUAUUUUUAGUUUUGAGAUAGGGUCUCACUAAAAAUUUCCCAGGCUGGCCUUAAAUUUGUGAUCUUCCUGCCUCCUCCCCAGCAGGUAUAAUUGUAGGUGUUCACUAUUGCACCUGGUUUUGCCAACCCAUUCUUGAUGAAGGUGCAGAACCAAUUCAAUGGAAAAAAAUAAUAGUGUUUUCAACAAAUGUUACUAAAACAAUUAAAUAGUUAAAAGAAAAAAUAAAUAAAUAAGCUUUGACCUAAAUUCAAACUGAUAUAAUAAUUAAAUUAAAUUAAAUGGAUACAAACAUAAAGUAUAAAACUUUUAGGAAGAAAUAUUGACAAACUAGAGUUAGGUGAUGAGUACUUAGACAUGACAUAAAAAUCAUGCUCUAUACAUUCUUAAAAAGUAGUAAGUUUCAAAACCACUCUAAGAUUUCAUCUCACUCCAGUCAGAAUGGCACCUAUUAUGAAUACAAACAACAAUAAGUGUUGGUGUUGCUGGUGGGACUGCAAAU